This 822-nucleotide ribosomal RNA is filed under the name Triticum aestivum (bread wheat). Its description in RNAcentral is "partial small subunit ribosomal RNA". The record is from RNAcentral. Lineage: Eukaryota; Viridiplantae; Streptophyta; Magnoliopsida; Poales; Poaceae.
AUGUCUUCCUCCGCCGUCCGGCCGUGUUUCCUUUGCCUCCACGCUCCCGCUUCGUCCUCCGGCCUCCUCCCGACCAGCCGUCGGCAUCGCAGCAGCGCCCUGCCGCCGGCACAUGGGCGUAACAACCGGAAGCCCGUCGGCCACGCGAUCGUCUGCAGCCAGGCCGGCGCCGGCGAUGGUCACGCCAUGACGAUCAAAAUCAACCCCCGGGGUCGAGCGGAGAAGGAUUAUGAGUUCCGUGAAGAAGGAGACAGAAUUGAGGAGUACUUCAGGAAGUUUUCUAAUGCCGGCACAUUGCACAUGGGGUUAGCAACAAUAUUUCGAGGUUAUAUUUGCAGGAUCGCUAAAAAUUCUGUGAGGCUGGCUUCUAUUGUCAUGGGUAAGCCAGGCAUAAUUUCUGAAGAUGCACGUCUCACCACACUGAUGACUCCAAGAAAGGGAGAAAAGAUGGCUCUUGGGGUGUAUGUGCGCAACUUUGUCAGUACAGCCGAGGAUGCGUACAAUGAUAAGGUCACUGAGGAAACUAUUGUUACCUUUCUUGGUGCUCUUCAAGGUGUGGCAGCAAUGAGCUACUUCAUGGCCCAAGACACCCUUGCAAAUAUUGGUGAUGAUGAAGCUAGUUCACUGGACUGCGGUCCAGAUUCUGUUUUCAAUAGACCUUGGUUGGAGUACAUGAGGAAAACAGACAAUCUGAGACGUGAAUUCAAGACGGCUCCGCCACAAGACCCGGACGGGCUGUCACCACAGGCUCGGCGGCAGCAGUUUGAUGGCAAACCAUAUCUAUGCUUCAGAAAGAGAGUCACAAGUUCCUUGGAAGAUUAA